RNAcentral lists this ribosomal RNA (800 nucleotides) under uncultured bacterium. Its description in RNAcentral is "bacterial SSU rRNA". It matches the Rfam family "Bacterial small subunit ribosomal RNA", at positions 8 to 800 of the family's 1533-position model. The record is from RNAcentral.
AGAGUUUGAUCCUGGCUCAGAACGAACGCUGGCGGCGUGUUUAAGACAUGCAAGUCGCACGGGAUUGAUUGAGUAGCAAUACAAGAUCAGUCUAGUGGCGCACGGGUGAGUAACAUGUGAAUUACAUGCCCUAUAGUGGGGAAUAGCCCAGGGAAACUUGGAUUAAUACCCCAUGGUAUCGCAAGAUUAAAGGUGGCCGCAAGGCUGUCGCUGAAGGAUUGGUUCGCGCCCUAUCAGCUUGUUGGUAAGGUAACGGCUCACCAAGGCUACGACGGGUACCUGGUCUGAGAGGACGAUCAGGCACACUGGAACUGAGACACGGUCCAGACACCUACGGGUGGCAGCAGUCGAGAAUAAUUCACAAUGGGGGCAACCCUGAUGGUGCAACGCCGCGUGGAGGAUGACGGUCUUCGGAUUGUAAACUCCUGUCAUCUGGGAGUAAGACCUGGCGAUGAAUAGUCGACAGGGUUGAUAGUACCAGAAGAGGAAGGGACGGCUAACUUCGUGCCAGCAGCCGCGGUAAUACGAAGGUCCCAAGCGUUGUUCGGAAUCACUGGGCGUAAAGGGAGCGUAGGCGGCGUGGUAAGUCAGAUGUGAAAUCCCGGGGCUCAACCCCGGAACUGCAUCCGAUACUGCCAUGCUAGAGUGAUGGAGAGGUAGCUGGAAUUCUUGGUGUAGCAGUGAAAUGCGUGGAGAUCAAGAGGAACACUCGUGGCGAAAGCGAGCUACUGGACAUUUACUGACGCUGAGGCUCGAAGGCUAGGGUAGCGAAAGGGAUUAGAUACCCCUGUAGUCCUAGC